AGCAUGUUAGCUCAGGGGAAGAGCGCCGGGCUCAUAACCCGGAGGUACGUUUCACCUCACCAACCAAUUAGAAUCUGAUUCCUAACAAACAAUAGGUCCCUGGAUCGAAACCAGGACAUGCUA
RNAcentral lists this transfer RNA (123 nucleotides) under Aspergillus transmontanensis. RNAcentral describes it as "tRNA-OTHER". It matches the Rfam family "tRNA". From Rfam's summary of the family: Transfer RNA (tRNA) molecules are approximately 80 nucleotides in length. Their secondary structure includes four short double-helical elements and three loops (D, anti-codon, and T loops). Lineage: Eukaryota; Fungi; Ascomycota; Eurotiomycetes; Eurotiales; Aspergillaceae. The record is from RNAcentral.